AGUGGCGGACGGGUGAGUAACGCGUGAGAAUCUGCCUUGGGGUCGGGGACAACCACUGGAAACGGUGGCUAAUACCGGAUAAGCCGAUUGGUGAAAGAUUUAUUGCCCGAAGAGGAGCUCGCGUCUGAUUAGCUAGUUGGUGAGGUAAGAGCUCACCAAGGCAGCGAUCAGUAGCUGGUCUGAGAGGACGAUCAGCCGCACUGGGACUGAGACACGGCCCAGACUCCUACGGGAGGCAGCAGUGGGGAAUUUUCCGCAAUGGGCGAAAGCCUGACGGAGCAAGACCGCGUGAGGGAGGAAGGCUCUUGGGUUGUAAACCUCUUUUCUCAGGGAAGAAUCUCUGACGGUACCUGAGGAAUCAGCCUCGGCUAACUCCGUGCCAGCAGCCGCGGUAAUACGGAGGAGGCAAGCGUUAUCCGGAAUUAUUGGGCGUAAAGCGUCCGCAGGUGGCGAUUCAAGUCUGCUGUCAAAGCACGGGGCUUAACUCCGUAAAGGCAGUGGAAACUGAAUAGCUAGAGUGCCGUAGGGGUAGAGGGAAUUCCCGGUGUAGCGGUGAAAUGCGUAGAGAUCGGGAAGAACAUCGGUGGCGAAAGCGCUCUACUGGACGGCAACUGACACUCAGGGACGAAAGCUAGGGGAGCGAAUGGGAUUAGAUACCCC
Molecule: ribosomal RNA, 660 nt
Filed under: uncultured bacterium
Lineage: Bacteria
Description: bacterial SSU rRNA
Rfam family: Bacterial small subunit ribosomal RNA
Source: RNAcentral